CGCACGGGUGAGUAGCGCGUGGGAACCUGCCCAGUAGUGGGGGAUAACCGAGGGAAACUUCGGCUAAUACCGCAUGCGCCCGGGGGAGUGAUCUCUCGGGGAAAGAUUUAUCGCUAUUGGAGGGGCCCGCGUCGGAUUAGCUAGUUGGUGGGGUAAUGGCCUACCAAGGCGAAGACGCGUAGCUGGUCUGAGAGGAUGAUCAGCCACACUGGGACUGAGACACGGCCCAG
Molecule: ribosomal RNA, 230 nt
Filed under: uncultured bacterium
Lineage: Bacteria
Description: partial 16S ribosomal RNA
Rfam family: Bacterial small subunit ribosomal RNA
Source: RNAcentral